Mytilus californianus (California mussel) is the source of this 413-nucleotide long non-coding RNA. RefSeq lists it as uncharacterized. The record is from RefSeq and is a predicted model, not a curated record. NCBI's taxonomy places the organism in Eukaryota, Metazoa, Mollusca, Bivalvia, Mytilida, Mytilidae. The transcript is spliced from 4 exons.
AACUGUACCAUAGAAAAUUCAGUUAUAUUUCCAAAGUCUGGUGUCGCUUUCCUGGUAAUAUCUUUAAGUAGUUGCACUAUUGGCCAGUUUGACGUAAAGCAUGACGUUCUUCAACUGACUGAAAAAUUUACACAACUUCAUGCCAGAGGUUAUAUUCUAAUGUUGGCGUCUUUGCACAGUGAACGUGAGAUGAGAAUUUGUUCGGAGAUACAAACAAAAUUUUUAGAUACCAAACUACAGAUGAUAGCUAUUCACAGUGUUGAUGAAGGGAUUCAAGCUAUGAUAAACAUUGCAAAGGUAUUGUGUAAGCCGACCUCAGAUGUCAUGUUCAGCAGAUUAGAUAAAUUGGCUCACAAUUUCAGCAUAGACAAUACCACACAGUCUGCUUUUGCACAGCUAGGUCUUAGUGAACA